This 425-nucleotide ribosomal RNA is filed under the name uncultured bacterium. Its description in RNAcentral is "bacterial SSU rRNA". It matches the Rfam family "Bacterial small subunit ribosomal RNA", at positions 355 to 773 of the family's 1533-position model. The record is from RNAcentral.
UCGAGAAUUUUUCACAAUGGGCGCAAGCCUGAUGGAGCGACGCCGCGUGGGGGAUGAAUGGCUUCGGCCCGUAAACCCCUGUCAUUUGCGAUCAAACCUUAUUAUUUAAAAGAUGAUAAGCUGAUAGUAGCGAAAGAGGAAGGGACGGCUAACUCUGUGCCAGCAGCCGCGGUAAUACAGAGGUCCCAAGCGUUGUUCGGAUUCACUGGGCGUAAAGGGUGCGUAGGUGGUAGGGUAAGUCGGAUGUGAAAUCUCCGAGCUCAACUCGGAAAUUGCAUUGGAAACUGCCCUGCUUGAGGGUCGGAGGGGGGACUGGAAUUCUCGGUGUAGCAGUGAAAUGCGUAGAUAUCGAGAGGAACACCAGUGGCGAAGGCGAGUCCCUGGACGACUCCUGACACUGAGGCACGAAAGCUAGGGGAGCAAAC